GCGGAGGGUGAUACCACAUCGGUAUGUGGACCAGGCCGACAACCUGGGUUCCCUAAGGGGAAAGGGGUUCGACUCCCACGCCCUCCGCG
Molecule: transfer RNA, 89 nt
Filed under: Candidatus Omnitrophota bacterium
Lineage: Bacteria; Pseudomonadati; Candidatus Omnitrophota
Description: tRNA-Val
Source: RNAcentral